GAUGAACGCUGGCGGCGUGCCUAAUACAUGCAAGUCGAGCGAACAGACGAGGAGCUUGCUCCUCUGACGUUAGCGGCGGACGGGUGAGUAACACGUGGAUAACCUACCUAUAAGACUGGGAUAACUUCGGGAAACCGGAGCUAAUACCGGAUAACAUGUUGAACCGCAUGGUUCAACAGUGAAAGACGGUCUUGCUGUCACUUAUAGAUGGAUCCGCGCCGCAUUAGCUAGUUGGUAAGGUAACGGCUUACCAAGGCAACGAUGCGUAGCCGACCUGAGAGGGGGAUCGGCCACACUGGAACUGAGACACGGUCCAGGCUCCUACGGGAGGCAGCAGUAGGGAAUCUUCCGCAAUGGGCGAAAGCCUGACGGAGCAACGCCGCGUGAGUGAAGAAGGUCUUCGGAUCGUAAAACUCUGUUAUUAGGGAAGAACAAAUGUGUAAGUAACUAUGCACGUCUUGACGGUACCUAAUCAGAAAGCCACGGCUAACUACGUG
RNAcentral lists this ribosomal RNA (497 nucleotides) under uncultured bacterium. RNAcentral's name for it is "partial 16S ribosomal RNA". It matches the Rfam family "Bacterial small subunit ribosomal RNA", at positions 28 to 507 of the family's 1533-position model. The record is from RNAcentral.